This 498-nucleotide ribosomal RNA is filed under the name uncultured bacterium. Its description in RNAcentral is "partial 16S ribosomal RNA". It matches the Rfam family "Bacterial small subunit ribosomal RNA", at positions 30 to 523 of the family's 1533-position model. The record is from RNAcentral.
AUUGAACGCUGGCGGCAUGCCUUACACAUGCAAGUCGAACGGUAACAGGUCUUCGGAUGCUGACGAGUGGCGAACGGGUGAGUAAUACAUCGGAACGUGCCUAGUAGUGGGGGAUAACUACUCGAAAGAGUGGCUAAUACCGCAUGAGAUCUACGGAUGAAAGCAGGGGAUCGCAAGGCCUUGUGCUACUAGAGCGGCCGAUGGCAGAUUAGGUAGUUGGUGGGAUAAAAGCUUACCAAGCCGACGAUCUGUAGCUGGUCUGAGAGGACGAUCAGCCACACUGGGACUGAGACACGGCCCAGACUCCUACGGGAGGCAGCAGUGGGGAAUUUUGGACAAUGGGCGAAAGCCUGAUCCAGCAAUGCCGCGUGCAGGAUGAAGGCCUUCGGGUUGUAAGCUGCUUUUGUACGGAACGAAAAGCCCCGGGUUAAUACCCUGGGGUCAUGACGGUACCGUAAGAAUAAGCACCGGCUAACUACGUGCCAGCCGCCGCGGUAA